Molecule: long non-coding RNA, 1289 nt
Filed under: Cyanistes caeruleus (blue tit)
Lineage: Eukaryota; Metazoa; Chordata; Aves; Passeriformes; Paridae
Description: lncRNA (ENSCCEG00000001612.1)
Source: RNAcentral
CCUUCCCCUCAGAGAGGCCACGCCCUCCGCCCCGCCCUCAGAGAGCCGCCAAGAUGGCGGGAGGUGGCGUGUGGUGAUGGUGGGUCCUGUCCAGGCUGGGCGCUACCGCCUCUCUUCCCGUCACCUCAAGGGUCUUUUCACCCUCUCAGAAGCCCUAGUGGGCUCGACGAGGAGAAGGGCCCAGAGUGACCAGAUGACACACAGCAACCUCCCUUGGUCCAGGCACACCCAAAAUCUGGGGGCGAAGCUCCCAGAUUGCAGCCAGAUGAACCACUACAAUAUUUAACCUUUUACUGCAAGGGAAAGGCACAAACUGGGUGGACACUGGGAGGGUAGACACAUUUCCAUGGUGUGAAAAACGAUAGACAGAAGUUUAGCUUAACUCUCACCACAGUGCAUUUUCCUUGAUGGAAAGAUUUUAUGGGUUUGAGGUAGAUUUUACAUUUUUGUCUGAAUAAGUGGAAAGUUGAUGCUUUUUAAAACCAAAACCAUGCCAUAACAAGGCCAUGACCACAUGGGGUCAGCCCAGCUUUCCCCACUGAGGCUCAGAGCAGAGGUCCUGGACCUGCAGCAGGAAUGCAGCGAAUUUUGGACAAUCCUUACCCAGGAGCAUCCUCCCAGAUCCCAACAGUCGCUGUGGAGGGACAUCCUGGCCCAGAAGGUGCAUCUGGCCUGUGGGAUUUAACAGCUGAGCAGCAUCCUCUGUGUAUCCCAACUUCUGAUCUCUGCUGUGUGGCAGUGGAAUGUUGAAAAAUGAGGGGAAAAUCCUUUAUUUUGGUUAAAACUCUUGCUGUGCCCCAGCAAGGCUGAGUUUGUCAGCCCUGGAAACCAGUGCUGUCCCGUUUCCCACCACAGGUGCUGACAAACCUUUUUGCAUGUGGAUUUUGUAGCAGCAAGAGUCUAAACCAGAGCAGGGGGAUGAUCUGUAUGAGAAAACCUUCCUUGUAAUUCCAGGCCCUUGUAAAUAGUCUUUCUCCAUGUUUUUUGUAGGCUUCCUUCAGGCACUGGAUGCUGCAAUUAGGUCACCCUGAAGUCUUUUCCAGGCUGCACAAUCCCAGUUCUCCCAGCCUUUCCUUGCAGAGAGCUGCUCCAUCCCUCUGAUCAGAUUGGUGGCCUCCUUUGGACUCUCUCCAACAGCUCAAUUACAUUGAUUGGUGUUCCCAGAAUGGGAAAAAUGGGAUCAGGGAUCAGCCACUUUGCUGAGUCCACACUUGAAAUGGGUUUUACUCCUUUGCUGAGCAGGGACAGGACCCAGGGAAGGGCUGGAGCUGUGUCAGGGGAGUUUAGUU